ACGAAUAUCGAUUUCUUUUGCCGU
RNAcentral lists this non-coding RNA (24 nucleotides) under Arabidopsis thaliana (thale cress). Lineage: Eukaryota; Viridiplantae; Streptophyta; Magnoliopsida; Brassicales; Brassicaceae. The record is from RNAcentral.